RNAcentral lists this ribosomal RNA (699 nucleotides) under Stenotrophomonas maltophilia. RNAcentral describes it as "partial 16S rRNA". The record is from RNAcentral. Lineage: Bacteria; Pseudomonadati; Pseudomonadota; Gammaproteobacteria; Lysobacterales; Lysobacteraceae.
GGUCCAGGUAGCUGCCUUCGCCAUGGAUGUUCCUCCUGAUCUCUACGCAUUUCACUGCUACACCAGGAAUUCCGCUACCCUCUACCACACUCUAGUCGCCCAGUAUCCACUGCAGUUCCCAGGUUGAGCCCAGGGCUUUCACAACGGACUUAAACGACCACCUACGCACGCUUUACGCCCAGUAAUUCCGAGUAACGCUUGCACCCUUCGUAUUACCGCGGCUGCUGGCACGAAGUUAGCCGGUGCUUAUUCUUUGGGUACCGUCAUCCCAACCGGGUAUUAGCCAGCUGGAUUUCUUUCCCAACAAAAGGGCUUUACAACCCGAAGGCCUUCUUCACCCACGCGGUAUGGCUGGAUCAGGCUUGCGCCCAUUGUCCAAUAUUCCCCACUGCUGCCUCCCGUAGGAGUCUGGACCGUGUCUCAGUUCCAGUGUGGCUGAUCAUCCUCUCAGACCAGCUACGGAUCGUCGCCUUGGUGGGCCUUUACCCCGCCAACUAGCUAAUCCGACAUCGGCUCAUUCAAUCGCGCAAGGUCCGAAGAUCCCCUGCUUUCACCCGUAGGUCGUAUGCGGUAUUAGCGUAAGUUUCCCUACGUUAUCCCCCACGACAGAGUAGAUUCCGAUGUAUUCCUCACCCGUCCGCCACUCGCCACCCAGAGAGCAAGCUCUCCUGUGCUGCCGUUCGACUUGCAUGUGUUAGG